UAUAAAUUCAUUUUUGCAGCAUUUGUUUUAUAACGAGUUAUUCACCGACGCUGCGAAUGAAUUAGAGAGAUCCGCCAUUAAAACUACGACGGAAAUUGAGAGUUUCGUAGCUCUCGCUGAGCGUGCGGCGGUAAUCGCAAGAGACAAUCGCGCGCGUGGCGACGCUCCUGAGGAAUUUCGGGAUCCAUUGAUGGACACUCUUAUGGAGGAUCCAGUCAAGCUACCGUCUGGUAUUGUUGUGGACAAAGCAGUUAUCAUUAGACAUUUACUCAACAGUGCCACGGAUCCUUUUAAUUGGCAGCCGCUUAGCGAAGAUAUGCUUGUGCCAAUGCCCGAUUUGAAAGAAAGGAUAUCAAUAUGGAAACAACAAAAGUUACAGUGCUAAGGUGACAAGAAUUAUGCACA
Molecule: long non-coding RNA, 405 nt
Organism: Formica exsecta
Lineage: Eukaryota; Metazoa; Arthropoda; Insecta; Hymenoptera; Formicidae
Exons: 2
Source: RefSeq, a predicted model, not a curated record